This is a long non-coding RNA of Hemicordylus capensis (graceful crag lizard), 688 nucleotides long. RefSeq lists it as uncharacterized. The transcript has 3 exons. Lineage: Eukaryota; Metazoa; Chordata; Lepidosauria; Squamata; Cordylidae. The record is from RefSeq and is a predicted model, not a curated record.
AAUCACCCUGUGCACAGCUCUCUAUGAUUUCUUGCAGGGGAGGACAGACUGGGACAGGCUGGGUAAAAGAGGCAUGAGAGUUCUCACAAUUAAAGGAUCAGGCUCAGCUUUCCAUGGGACCUCUCAUGCCCAUUCAGCAGUUCAAGAAGUCAUGGUGGAGAGAUGUGGACCAUGAUAAGAAACAUUAUUGAGAGAGAUGAUCUGCCAGCUCGAGUAGUUGUUGGCCACUGCUUUCUACUGAUUCCUGUCUGGUGGACACAGUCCCAGGGCGAUCCUUCUGCAGGUGCAGCCAUGCUAGAUCCCCACUGAAACAAAUUUCUCAACAACAAAACAUAGAAGAUUACUAUACAGAAAGAAUACAACAGUGCGGAAUGAUGAACCUGAUGUAGGUGUGCUCUCUUGGCCUUUAAAUUGGGGAAGUCGUGUCAAAUUUUCCACACACACCCUGCCGUUUGGCAGCUCUGCACUGCUUCUCAACCACAGAUCUUUGCCAAAACUUGACUUUGCUCCCUUCAGAUUAACUGUCUCCAAUUAAAUAAACUGGCAUUUCUUCUAAGGAGUCUGAUUGAAAGGAUAAUCUUGAACGACACCCAUCUUAAAGAGUUGAGUCUUCUCCGAAAGCUGAGAUUAGGCAAUCAAGUCUACAGAUGUUUGCAAGGGUUUUAGUCUGACACUAACCAACCUUUAA